RNAcentral lists this long non-coding RNA (278 nucleotides) under Numida meleagris (helmeted guineafowl). RNAcentral's name for it is "lncRNA (ENSNMEG00000020755.1)". The record is from RNAcentral. Lineage: Eukaryota; Metazoa; Chordata; Aves; Galliformes; Numididae.
GGAAGGAUCUCUACCUGGAGAUCUCUUCUUUGGUCUGUUUGGUAAACCUUUGGGAUGGUUUGUUUCUAUGCUGAAGGACAUUUGAAAUAAAGGCAACCUUCCCCACUAAAUACCAGGUUGUAAAAUCCCAGAGGCACACCUCUCAGGCCAUUCCAGCACCCGCUUUAUCUCCAGUGAUCUCUGACCCCUGCAUGUCAGGAGUUCAAUCUGGUACGUUCCACUCUUUGCCCCCACUUAAUUCUUUUUUAGCUGCUCGGCCUUUGAAACCUGGUGCCAUA